AUGGAGGGGAGUCCAGUCAGUGCCUCGCUGGGCGCCAUGGGCUCCCUUCCACGGAAGCUCGAUGAGCUCUUGGCGACCAGACACUGGGUUCUGCGGGGCGCUCUGAUGGAUGAGAUCGAGCAUCUCACGACCGACCUUUGCAUCCUGUACAAAUUAAUGCUGAAGCUCUCAGAUGCGCCGCAGGAACCUCCUAUGGCUGCGAGGUAUUGGAUGAAGGAAGUGCGCGAGCUUUCCUACGACAUGGACGACUUUGCCGACCAAUUCCUCCAUGCUCAUGGCCGUGCCAAGAUCUGCAGAGCUGCUCGCCACAAGAAUAAAAAAAUUUCUCGGGUAAAGAUUAAAUGUCUUCGAGAGAGGCGGAGGUGGCGCCCAUGGAUCACUGACAAGAUUUCAGAAUUCAGGACUCGAGCGCAGGAGGCGAUUCAGCGAUACCAGCGGUACAAGUUUGAUGAUUGCGCCUCCAGUCCUGGAUUCUCACGUAUUGGCCAUGAGCUUCCAAGUAUUUGGUCAGAUGCUGAUGAUCUUGUUGGCAUGGAAGGCCCAACGGAUGAGCUUGAGAGGUGGUUGAUCAAUGGAGAGGAGCAGCUCAAGGUGGUGUCCAUUGUGGGUGUUGCAGGAAUCGGCAAGACCACUCUUGCCUUAAAGUUGUGGGGUAAGCUCUGUGGACAAUUCGAGUGUGGGGCAUUUGUGCGGACAGCCCAAAAACCCGAUAUGAGGGGUAUUCUCAGGAACAUACUCUUCCAAGUUCGGCCGCACCAACCUCCAAACCAUGGCGAGAUGCGCCACCUGAUCAACGACCUCAGGGAAUAUCUACAAGACAAGAGGCAUGCUAUGUACAAAAUAUUUGUCAGGUACUUUGUUAUAAUUGAUGACUCAUGGGCUACAUCACUAUGGGAUGUGGUUAGUCGCGCUUUUCCACAGAGUAAUAGUUGCAGCAGAAUAAUAACUACGACAGAAAUUAUGGAAGUAGCUCUCGCAUGUCGCUGUUUUUGCCCUGAGCAUAUUUUUAAAAUGGAACCUCUUAGUGAUGAUGACUCAGAGAAAUUACUGCUCCAACGAAUGCUUGUCCCAGGAAAUCAAAGUCCUCAACAAUUUGAUGAUGUUAUACCUCAGAUUAUGAGAAGUUGUGGUGGCUUGCCACUAGCAAUCAUCAUUGUAGCCAGAAUUUUAGCAAGCCAACCUGAGAAGCUAGAGCAAUGGGGCAGUACACAGAAUUCUUCUGGUUCCAUUUUCGGGGCAAAUCCUAGCAUGGAAGGGUUUAUGGGACGAAUAUUGAACAUUUGCUUCAUUAGUCUUCCACAUUAUUUGAAGACAUGUCUGCUCCAUCUUAGUACAUAUCCAGAGGGCUAUCUAUUCUUGAAAUAUGACGUAGUGAAGCAAUGGGUGGCUGAUGGUUUUAUAUGUGCAAACGAAGGUCAAGACAUGGAGGAAGUUGCCGGGAGCUAUUUUGAGUCACAUGUAAUGUCACUGUAA
This 1473-nucleotide ribosomal RNA is filed under the name Triticum aestivum (bread wheat). RNAcentral's name for it is "partial small subunit ribosomal RNA". Lineage: Eukaryota; Viridiplantae; Streptophyta; Magnoliopsida; Poales; Poaceae. The record is from RNAcentral.